CAGUUUGCGCUCCGAGCUAUGGCGGAGCGCGGCAGACGGCUCAGUAACACGUGGCUAACCUACCCUCAGGACGGGGAUAACCCCGGGAAACUGGGGCUAACCCCCGAUAGGAGCAGACACCUGGAAUGGGUCUGCUCCGAAAAGGAUACAGUACCAUGCUUACUGUAUCCGCCUGAGGAUGGGGCUGCGGCCUAUCAGGUAGUUGGCGGGGUAACGGCCCGCCAAGCCGAUAACGGGUAGGGGCUGUGAGAGCAGGAGCCCCGAGAUGGGCACUGAGACAAGGGCCCAGGCCCUACGGGGCGCAKCAGGCGCGAAACCUCCGCAAUGCKGGUAACCGUGACKGGGUCACCCCGAGUGCCWUCCGAAGAGGAUGGCUUUUUNCCGGWCUANAAANC
RNAcentral lists this ribosomal RNA (395 nucleotides) under uncultured archaeon. RNAcentral describes it as "partial 16S ribosomal RNA". It matches the Rfam family "Archaeal small subunit ribosomal RNA", at positions 55 to 427 of the family's 1478-position model. The record is from RNAcentral.